GAUGAAGAACGCAGCGAAAUGCGAUAAGUAAUGUGAAUUGUAGAAUUCAGUGAAUCAUCGAAUCUUUGAACGCACAUUGCGCCCGCCAGUAUUCUGGCGGGCAUGCCUGUUCGAGCGUCAUUUCAACCAUCAAGCCCCCGGCUUGUGUUGGGGACCUGCGGCUGCCGCAGGCCCUGAAAACCAGUGGCGGGCUCGCUAGUCACUCCGAGCGUAGUAAUACAUCUCGCUCAGGGCGUGCUGCGGGUUCCGGCCGUUAAAAAGCCUUAUUUACCCAAGGUUGACCUCGGAUCAGGUAGGAAGACCCGCUGAACUUAAGCAUAUCAAUAAGCGGAGGA
RNAcentral lists this unclassified non-coding RNA (335 nucleotides) under soil metagenome. RNAcentral describes it as "partial contains 5.8S ribosomal RNA, internal transcribed spacer 2, and large subunit ribosomal RNA". The stretch from base 1 to 120 matches the Rfam family "5.8S ribosomal RNA", at positions 35 to 154 of the family's 154-position model. The record is from RNAcentral.